Zingiber officinale is the source of this 620-nucleotide long non-coding RNA. RefSeq lists it as uncharacterized. The transcript has 4 exons. Lineage: Eukaryota; Viridiplantae; Streptophyta; Magnoliopsida; Zingiberales; Zingiberaceae. The record is from RefSeq and is a predicted model, not a curated record.
UCGCCGUCUCUUUUCCUUUAUCCCCCUUUCGCUCGAUCUCCGCCAACCCAACCUCGCGACGGCGCCUCCACACCCGAGCUCACGGCGACGAUGAGUCCAUCGGUCGGCAAAACCUCCUAGGCCUCUAACCCUCGACGACAGCGUCACCAGAGCUUCUUCCUCUCCUCGGAUUUCAGCUGCACACGGCGAAUCUUCAGUCGAGAGGAGUAAAUCUGAGCUCUGGUGACUCCGAGGGUAGUAAUGCCUGUUCCAGAGCUUGAUAGGGAUAAGGACUUAUACCUCAGGCAGUUUCCUCAUCUUCCCGAGGCUGGAGACGAGUGGAUCGGGUCGGGUUUCUCUCCGCCGAUUGUGGAGGUCUUCGGCAGCAAGGGGGCUCACGGUGAGGGUUCGGCCAAAACCUCCAGUAGCAAGUUAUCACUGGCGGGUCUCCUCAGCAAGGUUGUCUGGCCGUAAAACAAUAGCCUUGUAGAAUUGUGGUUGUGCUUCUGAGGUAGCGAGCAACAUCUUUGUGUUUUGUGCUGGCGAAUUCCAUCUCCAGGCAGUGAGUCAACAGAGGACUUUGAUCAAGGCGAUUGUCGUGACGAGAUUAACGUCGGAUUCAGCUUACAUUUACAGGCGGG